RNAcentral lists this ribosomal RNA (263 nucleotides) under Gloeochaete wittrockiana. RNAcentral describes it as "partial Bacterial large subunit ribosomal RNA". It matches the Rfam family "Bacterial large subunit ribosomal RNA", at positions 2616 to 2891 of the family's 2925-position model. Lineage: Eukaryota; Glaucocystophyceae; Gloeochaetales; Gloeochaetaceae. The record is from RNAcentral.
ACGUCGUGAGACAGUUCGGUCUCUAUCUAUUGCGGGCGUUAGAUGUUUGAGAGGGCUUGAUUCUAGUACGAGAGGACCGAAUUGAACAAACCUCUGGUGUAUCAGUUGUACCGCCAGGUGCACCGCUGAGUAGCUAUGUUUGGAAGAGAUAAACACUGAAAGCAUAUAAGUGUGAAACUCGCCUCAAGAUGAGACAUCUUUUAAGGGUCGUGGGAGAUGACCACGUUGAUAGGCUACAGGUGUAAAGUUGGUAACAGCAUAGC